Molecule: ribosomal RNA, 292 nt
Filed under: uncultured prokaryote
Description: partial 16S ribosomal RNA
Rfam family: Bacterial small subunit ribosomal RNA
Source: RNAcentral
GUGCCAGCACCCGCGGUAAUACGUAGGGGGCAAGCGUUGUCCGGAAUUAUUGGGCGUAAAGCGCGCGCAGGCGGUUCCUUAAGUCAGAUGUGAAAGGCCACAGCUCAACUGUGGAGGGCCAUUGGAAACUGGGGAACUUGGGGACAGAAGAGGAGAGCGGAACUCCACGUGUAGCGGUGAAAUGCGUAGAUAUGUGGAGGAACACCAGUGGCGAAGGCGGCUCUCUGGUCUGUAACUGACGCUGAGGCGCGAAAGCAUGGGUAGCGAACAGGAUUAGAAACCCCCGUAGUCC